RNAcentral lists this ribosomal RNA (443 nucleotides) under uncultured bacterium. RNAcentral's name for it is "partial 16S ribosomal RNA". It matches the Rfam family "Bacterial small subunit ribosomal RNA", at positions 338 to 795 of the family's 1533-position model. The record is from RNAcentral.
CCUACGGGCGGCAGCAGUGGGGAAUAUUGGGCAAUGGGCGCAAGCCUGACCCAGCAACGCCGCGUGAAGGAAGAAGGCUUUCGGGUUGUAAACUUCUUUUCUCAGGGACGAAGAAAGUGACGGUACCUGAGGAAUAAGCCACGGCUAACUACGUGCCAGCAGCCGCGGUACUACGUAGGUGGCAAGCGUUAUCCGGAUUUACUGGGUGUAAAGUGCGUGUAGGCGGGGAAGCAAGUCAGAUGUGAAAACCACGGGCUCAACCUGUGGCCUGCAUUUGAAACUGUUUUGCUUGAGUUCUGGAGAGGCAGACGGAAUUCCUAGUGUAGCGGUGAAAUGCGUAGAUAUUAGGAGGAACACCAGUGGCGAAGGCGGUCUGCUGGACAGCAACUGACGCUGAGGCGCGAAAGCGUGGGGAGCAAACAGGAUUAGAUACCCGAGUAGUC